GAUCAUGGCUCAGGAUAAACGCUGGCGGCGCACAUAAGACAUGCAAGUCGAACGAACUUAAUCCUUAGUUACUAUAGGAAGCGGUUAGUGGCGGACUGGUGAGUAACGCGUAAACAAUCUGCCUAUCAGAGGGGAACAACAGUGAGAAAUCACUGCUAAUACCGCAUAUGCUGUGAGUACGGCAUCGUACAAACAGGAAAGGAGCAAUCCGCUGAUAGAUGAGUUUGCGUCUGAUUAACUUGUUGGUGAGGUAACGGCCCACCAAGGUGAUGAUCAGUAGCCGGACUGAGAGGUUAAACGGCCACAUUGGGACUGAGAUACGGCCCAGACUCCUACGGGAGGCAGCAGUCGGGAAUAUUGCGCAAUGGAGGAAACUCUGACGCAGUGACGCCGCGUGCAGGAUGAAGGUUUUCGGAUUGUAAACUGCUUUAGAUAGGGAAGAAACAAAUGACGGUACCUAUAGAACAAGCUCCGGCUAACUACGUGCCAGCCGCGGC
RNAcentral lists this ribosomal RNA (497 nucleotides) under uncultured bacterium. RNAcentral describes it as "bacterial SSU rRNA". It matches the Rfam family "Bacterial small subunit ribosomal RNA", at positions 15 to 518 of the family's 1533-position model. The record is from RNAcentral.